This 496-nucleotide ribosomal RNA is filed under the name uncultured bacterium. RNAcentral's name for it is "partial 16S ribosomal RNA". It matches the Rfam family "Bacterial small subunit ribosomal RNA", at positions 29 to 507 of the family's 1533-position model. The record is from RNAcentral.
AUGAACGCUGGCGGCGUGCCUAAUACAUGCAAGUCGAGCGUACAGACGAGGAGCUUGCUCCUCUGACGUUAGCGGCGGACGGUUGAGUAACACGUGGAUAACCUACCUAUAAGACUGGGAUAACUUCGGGAAACCGGAGCUAAUACCGGAUAAUAUAUUGAACCUCAUGGUUCAAUAGUGAAAGACGGUUUUGCUGUCACUUAUAGAUGGAUCCGCGCCGCAUUAGCUAGUUGGUAAGGUAACGGCUUACCAAGGCAACGAUGCGUAGCCGACCUGAGAGGGUGAUCGGCCACACUGGAACUGAGACACGGUCCAGACUCCUACGGGAGGCAGCAGUACGGAAUCUUCCGCAAUGGGCGAAAGCCUGACGGAGCAACGCCGCGUGAGUGAUGAAGGUCUUCGGAUCGUAAAACUCUGUUAUUAGGGAAGAACAAAUGUGUAAGUAACUAUGCACGUCUUGACGGUACCUAAUCAGAAAGCCACGGCUAACUACGUG